UUGGAUCACCGACGUUUGUAAAACGACGUUAUGCAUGAACGUAAUGCUCACAACUUCCCUCUAGACCUAGCUGCUCUUGAAGUUCCAUCUCUUAAUGGAUAAGGUUUUUCUACUAACAUAUAGGAAUUUUUGAAGGAAGGAAAGCCAGAAAUACCCAAUAUCUUGUUCUAACAGGAUAUUGGGUAUUUCUUUGUUUAUUCUGAAUCUUUCUAUUCUGAAUUCAGUUAACGACGAGAUUUAGUAUCCUUUCUUGCACUUUCAUAACUCGUGAAAUGCCGAGUAGGCACGAAUUCCCCCAAUUUGCGACCUACCAUAGGAUUUGUUAUGUAAAUAGGUAUAUGUUCCUUUCCAUUAUGAAUCGCGAUUGUAUGGCCAACCAUUGCGGGUAGAAUGCUAGAUGCCCGGGACCACGUUACUAUUAUUUCUUUCUCCUCCUUCAUAUUGACCUUUUCGAUUUUUGCCAAUAAAUGACGAGCUACAAAAGGAUUCGUUUUUUUUCGUGUCACAGCUGAUUACUCCUUUUUUUCAUUUUAAAGAGUGGCAUCCUAUGUCCACUAUGUCGAUCGAGGUAUGGAGGUCAGAAUAAAUAGAAUAAUGAUGAAUGGAAAAAAGAGAAAAUCCUUUAGCUGGAUAAGGGGCGGAUGUAGCCAAGUGGAUCAAGGCAGUGGAUUGUGAAUCCGCCAUGCGCGCCUGURUGAMAUUKGUGAUCCAA
RNAcentral lists this unclassified non-coding RNA (712 nucleotides) under Oplismenus aemulus. RNAcentral describes it as "partial miscellaneous RNA". The record is from RNAcentral. Lineage: Eukaryota; Viridiplantae; Streptophyta; Magnoliopsida; Poales; Poaceae.